CCUCGGCUCGGGCCAUCUUGUGCCCUCCGGGUAGCAUUCCAGCCGACGCUCGCUGAGUGGCCCUCACCCAAGACUUAUUAUCCUCGGUGCGGGGCCGGUGACCGCAGUCAAGAGUUGGUGGUGUGGGUUGGUAUCCAAUCAAGUUCAGUUUUGUGUCUGUCGGUGCGGAGUUGUGAAGGGUCGCUGUGUCACGCGCCCACCGAAUGAGUGCGGAGUCGAGAAAGGAGACUUUUCACUUGUACCUUUGAAGUGAACUUGCGAAAUCAUUUUAUGCUUUAUAAUGAUUAAAAGACAAAAUUAAUCGCUUAGUGAUUUCAGAAAGUGAAAGCGGAAGUUGAUUUAAUUAAUUCGAGUAAUAAAAGUGAUGAAAAAAAGUGAUAAAGAGUGAUAAAAGUUGAAAUGGAAAAUAAAAUUUGAUAAAGUGAUUCAUUUUAGAAUGAGACGACUGAUAAAGUGACUCAAUUAGAAUUUCUACAAGACGGGAGGAGAGAAAAUAAGGGAAAUAUCACAUUUAAUCUUUUAUCUUUUCCUUUCUCCUAUCUUUAUUUCCUCCUCUUACCAGUUAUUUCGUUCGUGACGUCGACCUUUCCCUUUCUCUCUGUCUCUCUCUUGCUUCCCUUGGUUCGUUAACGUGAACGAAAAGCAAAGAGUGAUGCAGUUCUGACGUCAUCAAGUGAGUCACGUGAUCUGACCCACAGUGACGUCAUCAGAUGUUCCGUCCCGCCAGGAUGCAAGUCACGUGAUCUGACGUCAUGCUCCUCCCACCUUCCUUUAAAGUGUUUUGGCGAUCGUGGGGACAAGGACGAAAGGGAGAAGGAAGAGAAGGGGAUGAUGGUUGAGAAAGAGAGACGAAAGGAGAGUCAGACAGAAAGGAGAGGAAAGGAAGGAGAAAGAUAGAGAAAAGAAAUAAGGGAAAAGGAAAAGUAGAGAGAUACAGAGAAAGAGAAUAAUAAAAAAAAGAGUGAAAGAAAAAAGAAUUUUGUGCAUUCGAAAAUAACAAAAAAAGAGAAAGGAACGAAAGAAAGAAAGAGGAAAGACAAGACAAAAAAAGGGAAAAAAAUAGAGAGAGAGACAAGCAAACACAAAUAAAUCAAGAGAAAGGAAGGAGAAGAGAGAACCAGCAAGAGGAAAAGAAAAGAUGUCGAUGCAGGCUUGUUUCGCCAAACUUGUCUGGUAUGUGUUCCUAAUGAGAAGUAUUCUGCUUUGAUUCGUAAGUAAAAGGAAAAAGGAAAAAGAAAAUGAAAAGGGAGAAAGAAAAUGAAAAAAAGGAGAAAGAAGACAUACGCAAACACAGGCUUACUGCGGCAUCACAUCGGAGCAAGUAG
Long non-coding RNA from Penaeus indicus, 1325 nucleotides. RefSeq lists it as uncharacterized. The transcript is spliced from 3 exons. The record is from RefSeq and is a predicted model, not a curated record. Lineage: Eukaryota; Metazoa; Arthropoda; Malacostraca; Decapoda; Penaeidae.